UCUCCGUAGGUGAACCUGCGGAGGGAUCAUUACUGAGUGAGGGUCUCCGGGCCCGACCUCCAACCCUUUUGUGAACCACCUCGUUGCUUCGGGGGUGACCCUGCCGCUUCGGCGGUGCGGCGCCCCCGGAGGCCAUUAAACACUGCAUUCUCUGCGUCGGAGUAUUAGUAAAUCUAAUCAAAACUUUCAACAACGGAUCUCUUGGUUCUGGCAUCGAUGAAGAACGCAGC
Molecule: unclassified non-coding RNA, 230 nt
Filed under: uncultured fungus
Lineage: Eukaryota; Fungi
Description: sequence contains ITS1, 5.8S rRNA gene
Rfam family: 5.8S ribosomal RNA (bases 182-230)
Source: RNAcentral